This is a long non-coding RNA of Gallus gallus (chicken), 4011 nucleotides long. RefSeq lists it as uncharacterized. Lineage: Eukaryota; Metazoa; Chordata; Aves; Galliformes; Phasianidae. The record is from RefSeq and is a predicted model, not a curated record. The transcript is spliced from 3 exons.
GUUCUGCGCGACCUUGCAAGCAAAGCAAACCCCUCCGGCAGAAGUUUCCAAAAUUCCUCUCGGUUAACUCAUUGCGAGCAGAAACCAUUUGUCACGCAGACUAGAGAGGCGUUUUCCGUGCAGCGGCUCUGGACGUGGGGCCGCGCGCUUCUGGGCCACCCCGUCGAGCCGAGCAGUGGUACGGGCAGGCGGGGGGGCCGUGCUGUGGGCACGCGGGUGGCCGCGGCCGGGGAGAUGCACUUCUCCGUUUGUGAAACUGCUGAGCUGGCAAUAACUUGUCCCGUGCUUUGUCCCGCUCCGCGCAGGGAAUGGCUCGCCGCAGCUCGGCGCGCUGCACCGCGCAGCUCCUGGUUGUGCCAGCUGCGUGGCACCGGGGGGAACGCGCCCAUUCACCAACAAGUGGGUUAAAGCCCAAAAUACUGUAGGUUCGUGGAAUGCAUGAGGCUCUACCUAUUGCCAGCGGCACGUAGCCCUGUUAGGCUGCUAGGCUUUCCUUCCAUCUUCACCGCCGAGGUACCCGAGAACAUUCACGUUAUGCUGUUUUCUUCCUCCUUCCUCAGAGAAGGGUUUGCUCAUGCAUGAGGUGUUUCGUUUUGGCACUUUGCAUGAUUUCCUUCGAUGUACGCAUUUAUGUACAUUUAUGUAGAAAUAAGUGUCUACAAAUACCGUGUGCUCACAGAGUUCCUGGUGCUGAGACUUACUUGCUUAGCUCUGUGCCCUAACCCUGUUUCCUGCCCAAAUGAGCACUGUGCUCCUGGCUGCAUCUUGGAUGUGAGGAACAGAGCUGUCAUCCAGAAGUGCCUCGCUCACAUCAACAGGAAGGGGGGCCAAGACCUGAGGUUUUACACAGCAGUCUCUGCAGAAAGCAGAGACAGAUGUCUGAUAGGGACUGAUAUAUAUUUCAAGACGGGAUAUCCUCACCUUGAUUAUGCAGUUAGGGAGUAAAACUCUUCUGCUGGACCGAGUCCUCGUUUCUGUGAUGAUGUCCUGUACUGCUCCAACUCAGAGGUUAUUUGCUGGGCCUCCUGCCUGGGGCAAGUUGCUGAUUUUUGGCAGUAAUGGAGCCCUGUCAGGUGUGCUGGAAGUAUUUGGUAUGCAUCAGGUCUGUCAAUUCCUAAUUACAGCCAAAAAGAAGGAGGUACAGCUCUAUUAACAGGGAGAGGAAUAAAACACAGCUCGGUAGUGACUGAAAAUUUGUCUCUUACAAGUUACUGCAAGUAGUUGGAAAUACUGUGCACAAUACACCAAGCAUGGUGAGACUCACAGCUCACAUGUACUGAAGAAUAUAGAGAACCAUACAAAGCAAACAAAGCAGCUAGCUUAUAAAACAGGUGACUUGCUAUGGAAAGCACUCUGAGGAUGGAAAUGUGCAGUGGUCACUAAUGAAAACUUUAUAUUUGCUCCCAGGUUUUAUGCAGAGAUACUCACAGAGCCUUAGUUGCUUUUCAGAGAGUUAUUAAGUUAUUAAGACAGAGGCCUUAACUGCAUUUAUAGUUGCAUCCUGUAAGAAUUUUGCUUUAUAACAUUCACCCUACCAAAGAUCAUUGUUCUGACUUGAGAUUGAGAAAGACAGUUCCUCCAUCAAGAGGUAAGGAAUGUUACGGUGUUGGCUCUGAACGUAGAUGGAUCUAAUUCAGCUGUUUUGGAAAUGUAUGAUUCCCUAAAUAUGUUUAACCUUCUGUCUGACAUGUUGCCCUUACUGAGUGGAAAGUUUAUCAUUUCCAUAUUUUUUUAUAAAUAGAAUGAACAUGUUAAUAGUUGCUAGAUAUACAGCAUAAAAGCUCAAUCAUUCUGUUUCUUUUAGCCAUCCUCCUUGAACCAAUAGGCUCCUGUAGCCCUUUGUCCAUUGCUUCUAAAGAAAUAAGUUCUAAUUUUUAAUUUCACUUUCCACUGCAGGUUGUUGAGUAAGACCCAGUCUCCCUGCAGGAAGCUGUUAUUAAUUCUAAUUUGGUGAAGUCUUCAGUUUCAACAGUAAUUAUUAUAAUUAUCAUCCAGUGUCUACUCACUCUCUUUCUUAGCAGGGGGGAAUAAUGGUACUGAUGGGAAUAAGAGCUCCCUUCCCUUCUCACUGAGCAUAAAUAUCCUUUUUUAUUUGUUUGCAUCAAACUUUUCAAAGCAUCACAGCAUGGAAAUGCCGGUGGACAGCUACUACUGUAAUUAACUGAUGUUCAUUAUUUCUGCAGUCUCAAAUGGUAAUACAUAUAUUUCUGAAAGAAAAUUCUAAAUGGAUUUGGAAUUGUGAAGCUGUUGGUAAUUAUAGUCUGGUAAAGCCCGCAACAGUGACUUCCAACAUGUGCAAAUAGUGCGGGAUGGAAGCAGAACAUGGAUCCAGCAUGAAUUCUAUCACAAGACCUCAAGACGUCAGUGUCUGUUUUGCUGCUGGGACAGAAGGAUGUCACAAGCAGAGAGCUCAAAGUCCACCUGCAGACUGACACAGACGCCCUUUGACUUUCUAUUGACUGAAGGAAGGACUGAACUUCUUGAUGACACCUAAGAGAGGGUUAAAAAGGGGUGAUUAAGAAGAUCACAACUAGAGGACAUCUGCACUUUUGUGAGCUUUGGUGUUUUUAGUAAUAAUGGUUCAUCCUGUGAUCUACAAAACAAACUGGUCUGGAGUUAGGAAGGUGACAUUAUCCCCAGCAGAGCCCUGAGCCAGUGACUCAUCAUGGAACAGCUGAGCAGUUCCCACACCCAUCUUUGACCAACAGAGUUUUAUCCAGACAUCUAAAUUGCAAACUACAUUGCUCUGAACUUCUGCCUGUCAGAGAAAAAAAAAAAAAAAAAAAAAAAAAGAAGAAGAAAACAGAUUUGUGCUGAUCUUGCAUGAGUCUUUGCUAGAUUUCCUGUACAGACUCACAAAGAGGAAACAAAAUUGGAGAGUGAAGUGAAAAAGAAAAACUUGCAGCCCUCUAAAAUUCAUGGCCAAAAAGCUGAAGAAUGUUCUCUCCUCUACUGCUACCAGGCAUUCAGAAAGAGAGGCAAACCAGAAAGCUGAAUGCCUGAGUGAUCCCAUGACUACAAUAAUAGUAAUAAUUAACAAUAAGUAAUUGCCAGUUGUAUUGCCCUUCUCAUUGCAGAGUUCAUGAUGUCUUGCUUGUAAAUGUUUUGAGUUAAUGAUAAGAUUUCUGUUGACUGUUUAACACAGACAUGUGCUCGAGUUAAGAGAAGAGAGUUACAGAAUUUAUAACUAAAAGAUCCUGCGGGAUUUCAGACAUCUGAUUCCCCAGAAAUCUCAUGUAGGGAUUCAAUCUCCAUCUUUCAGGCAAAUCAUUGAUCUCUUGGCAGCUUGGGCACCUGCCUCAGGCAUGAUGUGUGGAUCAUGCAUGAGGAGAGGCUGGGUGCUCUUUCAGCAGUGCAUGCGCUUUGGUGUAGGCUUCACCUGUGUGUCUGCAAAGGGAGUAGUUAAACUGCUGUAAUCAACACAGUUACAGCAUGCUAUGUACUGCACAUGGUCUUACAUGCAUGGAUGAAAGGCUGUGACAGGAAAAAACAGUUACUGAAGGAGGAAAUGUCCCCUAAAUACUGAGAAGAAUUAUAUCCAGGUUGUCUGCUUUCUCACUUUAUGGUGAUCUCAGUGUUACCUGUCUUACAUGUGGGAUGUUUCCCCCGUUGUCUCCAGAUUUUGAAGUGUAUUUUCAUCUAUGAUUAACAUUUUAUGAACAUAUCAGUCAGAUGUCAUUUCUUUUCAGCAAUAAUAUAAUCCAUAAGUGCACACUUUUAUAGGAACAUCACAAGGUCUUAAAGUAGGAGUAAUCUCUAAUUGUAUGGAACAGCAGAACUUACAGGGAAAUAGGUAAAAAGCUCCCACCAUUUUAGCUUCUAUCCUUUCCAGACUGUAGAUUUCCAUGAAUUAUGAAAAAGACUAGAAAAAUCAUCAGGUUUCAUGUUCUGAUGCAUGAGGUUCAUUGUGGCUUAUUAAAAGAAAAAAAAAAUUGCAUAUCAAAUUAUAGAAGCUUUCCUUGUGAAAAUCUUUAUAUCUAAAGAUGUAAUAAAUAUGCAGUGUAUAACAAA